Molecule: ribosomal RNA, 496 nt
Filed under: uncultured bacterium
Lineage: Bacteria
Description: partial 16S ribosomal RNA
Rfam family: Bacterial small subunit ribosomal RNA
Source: RNAcentral
AUUGAACGCUGGCGGAAUGCUUUACACAUGCAAGUCGAACGGUAGAGGGGGCAACCCCUCGAGAGUGGCGAACGGGUGAGUAAUAUAUCGGAACGUGCCCAGUCGUGGGGGAUAACGUAGCGAAAGUUACGCUAAUACCGCAUACGAUCUAAGGUUGAAAGCGGGGGAUCGCAAGAACUCGCGCGAUUGGAGCGGCAGAUAUCAGAUUAGGUAGUUGGUGGGGUAAAGUCUCACCAAGCCAACGGUCUGUAGCGGGUCUGAGAGGACGACCAGGCAAACUGGAACUGAGACACAGUCAAGACUCCUACGAGAGGCAGCCGUGGGGAAUUUUGGACAAUGGACGCAAGUCUGAUCCAGCCAUUCCGCGUGCAGGAUGAAGGCCCUCGGGUUGGAAUCUGCUUUUGUACGGAACGAAAAGGUCUCUCUUAAUACGGGGGGCUCAUGACGGUACCGUAAGAAUAAGCACCGGCUAACUACGUGCCAGCCGCCGCCGUAA